This 702-nucleotide long non-coding RNA is filed under the name Ananas comosus (pineapple). Its description in RNAcentral is "long non-coding RNA (ACOM_LNC008945)". The record is from RNAcentral. Lineage: Eukaryota; Viridiplantae; Streptophyta; Magnoliopsida; Poales; Bromeliaceae.
CAACUCCUUUUUAUAGUAAACACCCUCAAAAUACUAUUCACACUAGCAGUUUAGCAGCUCAGGAUCAGAUACUUUUCGCCGGCCCUUCUGAAUGCCCGUUUUUGCUCAAAUUUGACAGUUAGGCUCGAUUUGUGCUAAACAAACGGAAUAUAUCUUAACUUUCCAGUUUCGACCAUUUUUUGUCACCGAAAGCUCUACCGAACUGUAAUCUCUAGCAGAUAGCAGUCGGAUUUUAUUUUUCACUUUCCAGAUGUCAGAAUGACAUGAAACUUUAAAUCUAGCCUUAUAAAAAUAAUCCCGACAUAUUUUCAGAUUUUCAUAAUUUUCUGACACUGCAUUUUCUGCUAAAAAUACAAGUCCCGUUUCCCACAGAAAAUUCUAAAUCUCCUAUUUUCAUUCCGAUUUAAGCACGAGUCAUUCCAGACUUACAUUUUACUUCUUUAAGUCCAAUAAAAAUAGUAUCUUACACUAUUUUUAUUUAUACUUAAUUUUAUAUUACAAUCUGGUACAUUACACUUCCAAUCCUAUAAAGUUGCAUUUUGAAGCCUUAGCUCCAUAUAUUUUCUACAUACACAGGUUCUAUAAGAACAUAUAGAACAAUACAAACCUCAACAACCCAACAAUCUCAUACUAAGUAAUUUAGAGAUACAAGAGAUUAACUCCUGUCACAUUCAUAUCUCAUACAACUCUCAUAUCUCACCC